ACGAACGCUGGCGGCGUGCUUAACUCCUGCAAGUCGAACGGAAAGGCCCUGCUUUUGUGGGGUGCUCGAGUGGCGAACGGGUGAGUAACACGUGAGUAACCUGCCCUUGACUUUGGGAUAACUUCAGGAAACUGGGGCUAAUACCGGAUAGGAGCUCCUGCUGCAUGGUGGGGGUUGGAAAGUUUCGGCGGUUGGGGAUGGACUCGCGGCUUAUCAGCUUGUUGGUGGGGUAGUGGCUUACCAAGGCUUUGACGGGUAGCCGGCCUGAGAGGGUGACCGGCCACAUUGGGACUGAGAUACGGCCCAGACUCCUACGGGAGGCAGCAGUGGGGAAUAUUGCACAAUGGGCGGAAGCCUGAUGCAGCAACGCCGCGUGCGGGAUGACGGCCUUCGGGUUGUAAACCGCUUUCGCCUGUGGCGAAGCGUGAGUGACGGUAAUGGGUAAAGAAGCACCGGCUAACUACGUG
Molecule: ribosomal RNA, 467 nt
Filed under: uncultured bacterium
Lineage: Bacteria
Description: partial 16S ribosomal RNA
Rfam family: Bacterial small subunit ribosomal RNA
Source: RNAcentral